UAUGUGAAUAUAAUUCAGCAAACAACUUCCACGAGAUAUAAGUCUUCUAAAAACAUAGGGCGUGUCGUCAAAAAAUGAUAUAAAUAAUCCCAAUCGUCAAAGAUAUAUCAGUGAAAGAAUAUACUGACAGACGAUCAUUAAGGACUAUUCAAAUCUGCUUCGCAAUUGAACAAUUUAAAAAAAUGAGUGCUGCUCUUUAGGAAGUUUGAGUUAUUUGUGAUAAAAUGAUAAGAACUUAAAACCAUAGUAAAAUAAUUACCAUUAAUUCCAACCAAGCCAAGAUCGACGCAUUACACGCCACACAGUAACUUCUCCACUCUUUAAAUCACCGAAUUUGUAGCUUGCAACUGAAACCUUCUUGGACUCUCUGCCUUGUUCCAACACCCUAAUCUUCAGUUUCGAAACAUCCCACUCUGAUAUGAUACCAUAAUGCAUGGGCUUACCAAC
Schizosaccharomyces pombe (fission yeast) is the source of this 447-nucleotide non-coding RNA. NCBI's taxonomy places the organism in Eukaryota, Fungi, Ascomycota, Schizosaccharomycetes, Schizosaccharomycetales, Schizosaccharomycetaceae. The record is from the annotation of a GenBank genome assembly.